Molecule: long non-coding RNA, 524 nt
Organism: Phalaenopsis equestris
Lineage: Eukaryota; Viridiplantae; Streptophyta; Magnoliopsida; Asparagales; Orchidaceae
Exons: 4
Source: RefSeq, a predicted model, not a curated record
UCGUUCUUCAACAAUGCUUGCGCGGGAAAUAAAGUUCGGCUGGAGACCUCCGAAACUCCCAUCUUUCUCCUUCGCGCCGGCUCUGAGCAACAGACCUUCGAAAAUCUCAUCUUUAUCCUCCUCCGCGCCACUCGAGCUACUUGGGAAGGCAACGACUUGAUCGCGGAUUGCGCAGAUCUCUGGUACUAUUUGGACAUCAAUACUUUUCCUAAUUUUCUGAAUGGAGGAAGGAGCUAAUGUGACUGCAAACUCUGUUCAUCCAGGAUCAGUCAUGAAAUAUUUGAUGCGGCGCUCUCUGCUUCAUCCUGAUGAGGCUGAAGUGUAGAAAUUACAGUAGAGGCGACUGAUAUGACAUUUGUAUUUCUGAGUAUCUUUUUAGUUAUGUAAUAUUUGUUCCAAAAGUAAGCUUGAGAAGGUUCAUCACCAACUUCUUUAUAAAAUUGAAUGGAAUAAGAAGGCUGAUCCUGAAGGAAUUUAAGGGAGAAGAAUCAGUAUGUUCUAGUCUUUAAUUAUUAUCAUUAUUU